Molecule: ribosomal RNA, 320 nt
Filed under: uncultured eukaryote
Lineage: Eukaryota
Description: partial 18S ribosomal RNA
Rfam family: Eukaryotic small subunit ribosomal RNA
Source: RNAcentral
CCCUUAGAUGUUCUGGGCUGCACGCGUGUUACAAUCGGGAGUACAACAAGAUUGCGAAUCCUAGUGGAUGAGUGGUUCUUCGAAAUUUUCUGAAGACUGGGAUAGUUGAUUGAAAUUAUUCAACUCAAACGAGGAAUUCCUUGUAAUUGUAAUUCAUUAUAUUGUAAUGAAUACGUCCCUGCCCUUUGUACACACCGCCCGUCGCUCCUACCGAUUGAACGAUCCGGUGAAUUAUUUGGAGUAGCUCUGGAAGUUGCAGAACUUCCUAUGUCACGAAAUUUUGUAAACCUUAUCGUUUAGAGGAAGGAAAAGUCGUAACA